AGAGUUUGAUCCUGGCUCAGAUUGAACGCUGGCGGCAUGCUUUACACAUGCAAGUCGAACGGUAACAGGGAGCUUGCUCCGCUGACGAGUGGCGAACGGGUGAGUAAUAUAUCGGAACGUGCCCAAGAGUGGGGGAUAACGUAGCGAAAGUUACGCUAAUACCGCAUACGAUCUAUGGAUGAAAGUGGGGGAUCGCAAGACCUCAUGCUCCUGGAGCGGCCGAUAUCUGAUUAGCUAGUUGGUGAGGUAAAGGCUCACCAAGGCGACGAUCAGUAGCUGGUCUGAGAGGACGACCAGCCACACUGGAACUGGGACACGGUCCAGACUCCUACGGGAGGCAGCAGUGGGGAAUUUUGGACAAUGGGGGCAACCCUGAUCCAGCAAUGCCGCGUGAGUGGAGAAGGCCUUCGGGUUGUAAAGCUCUUUUGUCAGGGAAGAAAAGGGUACGGCUAA
Molecule: ribosomal RNA, 453 nt
Filed under: uncultured bacterium
Lineage: Bacteria
Description: bacterial SSU rRNA
Rfam family: Bacterial small subunit ribosomal RNA
Source: RNAcentral